CUCUCAAAUGCGCUUUGAAAAUAACAAUUCCACACAGCUAAGAAAAUAAAAAAGAAGAGCAGGAGGAUGAAUUUCUUAAUCACUUGUGAAAAGUGAGUUCAAGGAAAUUUCUAGACGUUGGAAAUAUUUUCUUUUAGCUUUCAGUUCCAUCCAUUUAAUACAUUUUACUUUAUUUUCUUCUGCUUUUUAGGAGAGACAACUCUCAUCUCUCUCAAUUCAAUCAAUCAACCAACAAUCCACCCCUCACCCGACUGGGAAGAACUAAUCUAAUUAUAAGAAUCCCAAAAUUUGUGCUCUGUGUAUAUGAGCCAAUUCUCCAUACACCCAAAUUAUGUACAAUGUAAACUUGAUGGGUGAAUGCUCAUAUUAACAAUAUAACGAAAUACAUUCGAAUGUAUGUCAAAUAAAU
RNAcentral lists this long non-coding RNA (409 nucleotides) under Olea europaea (common olive). RNAcentral describes it as "long non-coding RNA (OEUR_LNC005824)". The record is from RNAcentral. Lineage: Eukaryota; Viridiplantae; Streptophyta; Magnoliopsida; Lamiales; Oleaceae.